GGGUUAAGGUCUGCGUACACAUUACUCUCCCCAAACUCAAUUAGUGGGAUUUUACUGCUUGUUGUUGCUGUUGUUGCCUAUCUGCUGUUCCGGUUACCAAAUCUCAUACUAAACAUUUUGCAUUGUUGCUUCAGACGUGUUUCAUUCAAUGGUGGAUGGAAUAGCGUGUUAUUGGUCUUUCUCACUCGAGACUACGGAUUCUCAUUCCAUUUCUUGCUUUAUGUCUCACCCUUUCUCCCCUUUAAAUAUUCAUCUGAUUUGUUCAUUAGCUUUUAAGUUUAUUUAUUGCAGCCAUAAAAUUUUGCUUCAUCUUUAAAUGGUAUAUAUUUUACUCCAAAAACUGCAGUUAAAAAGGAGGAAGCUGCUUUGGGUGCUUUACCUCAUGCGAGAUCCUUUUUUCUCGGAAUACACCAGGCGAAGACUUGAAAGCACUCAAAAAAUUGUAGAACCUGUUCCUGUAGUUGGAUUUUUCGCAGAAAAACUUAUUGAACUACUUAUUGGAGCCCAGACUAGAUAUACCUACAUGUCUGGUUCUUGAAGGGAAGCCACUGAAUGUUUUAUGCAUUCUUUUUUACUCCUAUUUGGCAAUGGAGAUAAACUUUUUCUCUUUUUUUCAGUUGUAGCAUUUUGAAAUUAUAAUCAAGAAAAGAUGUAGCAUUUUGAAAUUAGAACUAAGAAUAGGUGUAUAAUUUUGUUGCUGUCCAAAAGUGUAUGGAGGUUUGAUGCUGCAUCAGAUGGAGCAGUAAUCAAACACUAUUGCUGGCUGUUUAUUUUAUAAAUCAUGAUUCAUGGUUAAUAUUCUCA
Non-coding RNA from Nicotiana tabacum (common tobacco), 804 nucleotides. The record is from RefSeq and is a predicted model, not a curated record. Lineage: Eukaryota; Viridiplantae; Streptophyta; Magnoliopsida; Solanales; Solanaceae.